GGCGAUGAAAUAAUCAGAAAAUCCUAAACAAAGAAAUUGACGGUGGAUGAUUGCUUUUUGCUUUUCAGGUAAAGCAGAUGAGAUGAAUUUGGUUUGCUUUCCUGUCUUUCUUUGUAGGUAACGAGAAAGAUAGCUGGAUAGAGAAAGGGGAAGAGAGGGAGAGGGAAACGAGGGUGAGGAAACAAGAAAGAGAGGAAGAAAAAAAAGGUGUUUACAGUUUUGG
RNAcentral lists this long non-coding RNA (223 nucleotides) under Populus tremula. RNAcentral's name for it is "long non-coding RNA (PTRE_LNC000024)". Lineage: Eukaryota; Viridiplantae; Streptophyta; Magnoliopsida; Malpighiales; Salicaceae. The record is from RNAcentral.